Molecule: small nuclear RNA, 125 nt
Organism: Trichosurus vulpecula (common brushtail)
Lineage: Eukaryota; Metazoa; Chordata; Mammalia; Diprotodontia; Phalangeridae
Source: RefSeq, a predicted model, not a curated record
AUAUUGUGUGAAAGAAGAGGUCAGUAUUCCAUUUGAUAAAGAUGGAAGAGGCACUAGUGACCUUUACAGCAUAUAUCUGGUUAUGGCAUUGCCAUCUACUCUGUGACAUCUAAUCAUGCAUGUAA